Molecule: long non-coding RNA, 1188 nt
Filed under: Oncorhynchus mykiss (rainbow trout)
Lineage: Eukaryota; Metazoa; Chordata; Actinopteri; Salmoniformes; Salmonidae
Description: lncRNA (ENSOMYG00000055295.1)
Source: RNAcentral
GAGAGAGAAGACAGAGAGAGAGAGAGAAGACAGGGAGAGAGAGAAGACAGAGAGAGAGAGAGAAGACAGAGAGUAGGAGAAGACAGGAAGAGAGAAGACAGAGAGAGAGAAGACAGAGAGAGAGAGAAGACAGGGAGAGAGAGAAGAGAGAGAGAGAGAAGACAGGGAAAGAGAGAGAAGACAGGGAGAGAGAGCAGACAGAGCGAGAGAGAAGAGAGGGAGAGAGAAGACAGAGAGAGAGAGAGAAGACAGGGAGAGAGCAGACAGAGAGAGAGAGAGAGAAGACAGGGAGAGAGAGAAGACAGGGAGAGAGAGAGAAGACAGGGAGAGAGAGAAGACACAGAGAGAGAGAGAAGACAGAGAGAGAGAGAAGACAGAGAGAGAGAAGACAGAGAGAGGGAGAAGACAGAGAGAGAGAGAAGACAGGGAGAGAGAAGACAUAGAGAGAGAAGACAGGGAGAGAGAAGACAGGGAGAGAGAAGACAGGGAGAGAGAGAGAAGACAGAGAGAGAGAGAAGACAGGGAGAGAGAGCAGACAGGGGGAGGGAGCAGACAGAGCGAGAGAAGACAGGGGGAGAGAGAGAAGACAGGGAGAGAGAGAGAAGACAGGGUGAGAGAGAGAAGACAGAGAGAGAGAGAAGACAGGGAGAGAGAGAAGACAGAGAGAGAGAGAGAAGACAGGGAGAGAGAGCAGACAGAGAGAGAGCAGACAGAGAGAGAGAAGACAGGGGGAGAGAGAGAAGACAGGGAGAGAGAGAAGACAGGGUGAGAGAGAGAAGACAGAGAGAGAGAGAAGACAGGGGGAGAGAGAAGACAGAGAGAGAGAGAAGACAGGGAGAGAGAGAAGACACAGAGAGAGAGAGAAGACAGAGAGUGGGAGAAGACAGGGAGAGAGAAGACAGAGAGAGAGAGAGAAGACAGAGAGAGAGAGAAGACAGGGAGAGAGAGAGAAGACAGGGAGAGAGAGCAGACAGAGCGAGAGAGAAGACAGGGAGAGAGAAGACAGAGAGAGAGAGAAGACAGGGAGAGAGCAGACAGAGUGAGAGCAGACAGAGACAGAGAGAAGACAGGGAGAGAGAGAGAAGACAGAGAGAGAGAAGACAGGGAGAGAGAGAAGACAGGGAGAGAGAGAGAAGACAGAGAGAGAGAAGACAGAGAGAGAGAUACAGAGAGAGAGAGAGCAGAUAG